CGACCCCAGUCAGGCGGGACUACCCGCUGAGUUUAAGCAUACAAAA
This 46-nucleotide ribosomal RNA is filed under the name Ajania pallasiana. RNAcentral describes it as "partial 28S ribosomal RNA". Lineage: Eukaryota; Viridiplantae; Streptophyta; Magnoliopsida; Asterales; Asteraceae. The record is from RNAcentral.